RNAcentral lists this ribosomal RNA (393 nucleotides) under uncultured bacterium. RNAcentral's name for it is "partial 16S ribosomal RNA". It matches the Rfam family "Bacterial small subunit ribosomal RNA", at positions 523 to 918 of the family's 1533-position model. The record is from RNAcentral.
AUACGGAAGGUCCGGGCGUUAUCCGGAUUUAUUGGGUUUAAAGGGAGCGCAGGCGGAGAUGCAAGCGUGACGUCAAAUUUCGGGGCUCAACCCCGUCUCGCGUCGCGAACUGCGUCCCUUGGUUGCGGGAAGGGGAGGCGGAACUCGUGGUGUAGCGGUGAAAUGCAUAGAUAUCACGAAGAACUCCGAUCGCGAAGGCAGCCUUCCGGCCCGUCAACGACGCUCAUGCUCGAAGGUGCGGGCAUCAAACAGGAUUAGAUACCCUGGUAGUCCGCACAGUAAACGAUGGACACCCGCGGUUUGGCCUGUAUGGCUGAGCCGCCAAGCGAAAGCGUUAAGUGUCCCACCUGGGGAGUACGCCGGCAACGGUGAAACUCAAAGGAAUUGGCGGGG